This 215-nucleotide long non-coding RNA is filed under the name Elaeis guineensis (African oil palm). RNAcentral's name for it is "long non-coding RNA (EGUI_LNC063465)". The record is from RNAcentral. Lineage: Eukaryota; Viridiplantae; Streptophyta; Magnoliopsida; Arecales; Arecaceae.
UCUGUACUUGUGCCUUCAAUCAAAUAUCACAAAGUGACUUAUCCCGUGGAAUAGCCAAUCCUUUCUGCAAUAUAGAGAUAUCCCUCCAAAAUUUAUCCCCACGAUCAGACGUAGUCGAAGCUGGUUUCGAAUUUGUUCUAUCAUUAAAGCAUCUUGACUCAAAGGACAUCUCCUAUUGUAGACUCUCGUUUGAGACCACGAUACCACUUGCUUUC